This 388-nucleotide ribosomal RNA is filed under the name uncultured bacterium. RNAcentral describes it as "bacterial SSU rRNA". It matches the Rfam family "Bacterial small subunit ribosomal RNA", at positions 30 to 418 of the family's 1533-position model. The record is from RNAcentral.
AUUGAACGCUGGCGGCAUGCCUUACACAUGCAAGUCGAACGGCAGCACGGGAGCAAUCCUGGUGGCGAGUGGCGAACGGGUGAGUAAUAUAUCGGAACGUGCCCAGUCGUGGGGGAUAACGUAGCGAAAGCUACGCUAAUACCGCAUACGAUCUAUGGAUGAAAGCGGGGGAUCGCAAGACCUCGCGCGAUUGGAGCGGCCGAUAUCAGAUUAGGUAGUUGGUGAGGUAAAGGCUCGCCAAGCCGACGAUCUGUAGCUGGUCUGAGAGGACGACCAGCCACACUGGGACUGAGACACGGCCCAGACUCCUACGGGAGGCAGCAGUGGGGAAUUUUGGACAAUGGGCGCAAGCCUGAUCCAGCAAUGCCGCGUGCAGGAUGAAGGCCUU